GUGGGGGAUAUUGCACAAUGGAGGAAACUCUGAUGCAGCGACGCCGCGUGAGUGAAGAAGUAUUUCGGUAUGUAAAGCUCUAUCAGCAGGGAAGAUAAUGACAGUACCUGACUAAGAAGCCCCGGCUAACUACGUGCCAGCAGCCGCGGUAAUACGUAGGGGGCAAGCGUUAUCCGGAUUUACUGGGGGUAAAGGGAGCGUAGACGGAAUGGCAAGUCUGAAGUGAAAUCCUGCGGCUUAACUGCAGAAUUGCUUUGGAAACUGUCAAUCUGGAGUGUGGGAGAGGUAAGCGGAAUUCCUGGUGUAGCGGUGAAAUGCGUAGAUAUCAGGAAGAACACCGGAGGCGAAGGCGGCUUACUGGACAAUAACUGACGUUGAGGCUCGAAAGCGUGGGAAGCAAACAGGAUUAGAAACCCGGGUAGUCC
RNAcentral lists this ribosomal RNA (425 nucleotides) under uncultured bacterium. Its description in RNAcentral is "partial 16S ribosomal RNA". It matches the Rfam family "Bacterial small subunit ribosomal RNA", at positions 354 to 796 of the family's 1533-position model. The record is from RNAcentral.